This 403-nucleotide unclassified non-coding RNA is filed under the name soil metagenome. RNAcentral describes it as "partial contains 5.8S ribosomal RNA, internal transcribed spacer 2, and large subunit ribosomal RNA". The stretch from base 1 to 121 matches the Rfam family "5.8S ribosomal RNA", at positions 35 to 154 of the family's 154-position model. The record is from RNAcentral.
GAUGAAGAACGUAGCGAAAUGCGAUAAGUAAUGUGAAUUGCAGAAUUCAGUGAAUCAUCGAAUCUUUGAACGCACCUUGCGCCCUUUGGCUAUUCCGAAGGGCAUGCCUGUUUGAGUAUCAUGAACACCUCAACUCUCAUGGUUUGCCAUGAUGAGCUUGGACUUUUGGGGGUCUUGCUGGCCUGUGGUCAGCUCCUCUCAAAUGAAUUAGCCUGCCAGUGUUUGGUGGCAUCACAGGUGUGAUAACUAUCUACGCUUGUGGUUUUCCACCAGGUAACCUUCAGUGAUGAAGGUUCGCUGGGGCUCAUAAACGUCUCUCCUCAGUGAGGACAGCUCUUUGAACGUUUGAUCUCAAAUCAGGUAGGACUACCCGCUGAACUUAAGCAUAUCAAUAAGCGGAGGA